Molecule: ribosomal RNA, 253 nt
Filed under: uncultured bacterium
Lineage: Bacteria
Description: partial 16S ribosomal RNA
Rfam family: Bacterial small subunit ribosomal RNA
Source: RNAcentral
UACGUAGGGGGCAAGCGUUGUCCGGAAUUAUUGGGCGUAAAGAGCUCGUAGGCGGCCUGUCGCGUCGACUGUGAAAACCCAGGGCUCAACCCUGGGCCUGCAGUCGAUACGGGCAGGCUAGAGUGCAGUAGGGGAGACUGGAAUUCCUGGUGUAGCGGUGAAAUGCGCAGAUAUCAGGAGGAACACCGGUGGCGAAGGCGGGUCUCUGGGCUGUAACUGACGCUGAGGAGCGAAAGCGUGGGGAGCGAACAGG